This 642-nucleotide ribosomal RNA is filed under the name uncultured archaeon. Its description in RNAcentral is "bacterial SSU rRNA". It matches the Rfam family "Archaeal small subunit ribosomal RNA", at positions 5 to 653 of the family's 1478-position model. The record is from RNAcentral.
CGGUUGAUCCUGCCGGACCCGACUGCUAUCAGAGUGGGACUAAGCCAUGCGAGUCAACGCAGCAAUGCGUGGCAUACGGCUCAGUAACACGUAGUCAACAUGCCCAGGGGACGUGGAUAACCUCGGGAAACUGAGGAUAAACCGCGAUAUGCCAAGGUUUCUGGAAUGGACAUUGGCUGAAACCUACAUGGCCCCUGGAUUGGACUGCGGCCGAUCAGGCUGUUGGUGAGGUAAUGGCCCACCAAACCUGUAACCGGUACGGGCUUUGAGAGAAGGAGCCCGGAGAUGGGCACUGAGACAAGGGCCCAGGCCCUAUGGGGCGCAGCAGGCGCGAAACCUCUGCAAUAGGCGAAAGCUUGACAGGGUUACUCUGAGUGAUGCCCGCUAAGGGCAUCUUUUGGCACCUCUAAAAAUGGUGCAGAAUAAGGGGUGGGCAAGUCUGGUGUCAGCCGCCGCGGUAAUACCAGCACCCCGAGUGGUCGUGACGGGAUGAUAGCACCUAAAGCAUCCGUAGCUUGUUCUGCAAGUCCUCCGUUAAAUCCACCUGCUCAACAGAUGGGCUGCGGGGGAUACUACAGGGCUAGGAGGCGGGAGAGGCAAACGGUACUCAGUGGGUAGGGGUAAAAUCCUCUGAUCCACUGA